RNAcentral lists this ribosomal RNA (497 nucleotides) under uncultured bacterium. Its description in RNAcentral is "partial 16S ribosomal RNA". It matches the Rfam family "Bacterial small subunit ribosomal RNA", at positions 28 to 507 of the family's 1533-position model. The record is from RNAcentral.
GAUGAACGCUGGCGGCGUGCCUAAUACAUGCAAGUCGAGCGAACGGACGAGAAGCUUGCUUCUCUGAUGUUAGCGGCGGACGGGUGAGUAACACGUGGAUAACCUACCUAUAAGACUGGGAUAACUUCGGGAAACCGGAGCUAAUACCGGAUAAUAUUUUGAACCGCAUGGUUAAAAAGUGAAAGACGGUCUUGCUGUAACUUAUAGAUGGAUCCGCGCUGCAUUAGCUAGUUGGUAAGGUAACGGCUUACCAAGGCAACGAUGCAUAGCCGACCUGAGAGGGUGAUCGGCCACACUGGAACUGAGACACGGUCCAGACUCCUACGGGAGGCAGCAGUAGGGAAUCUUCCGCAAUGGGCGAAAGCCUGACGGAGCAACGCCGCGUGAGUGAUGAAGGUCUUCGGAUCGUAAAACUCUGUUAUUAGGGAAGAACAUAUGUGUAAGUAACUGUGCACAUCUUGACGGUACCUAAUCAGAAAGCCACGGCUAACUACGUG